UACAGAGGGUGCGAGCGUUAAUCGGAAUUACUGGGCGUAAAGCGCACGUAGUCGGCUUUGCAAGUCGGUUGUGAAAUCCCCGGGCUCAACCUGGGAACUGCAUCCGAGACUGCAUUGCUAGAGUAUGGGAGAGGAAAGCGGAAUUUCUGGUGUAGCAGUGAAAUGCGUAGAUAUCAGAAGGAACAUCAGUGGCGAAGGCGGCUUUCUGGACCAAUACUGACGAUCAGGUGCGAAAGCUAGGGGAGCAAACGGG
RNAcentral lists this ribosomal RNA (253 nucleotides) under uncultured bacterium. RNAcentral's name for it is "partial 16S ribosomal RNA". It matches the Rfam family "Bacterial small subunit ribosomal RNA", at positions 524 to 776 of the family's 1533-position model. The record is from RNAcentral.